This 429-nucleotide ribosomal RNA is filed under the name Gemmatimonadota bacterium. RNAcentral's name for it is "Gemmatimonadetes bacterium partial 16S ribosomal RNA". It matches the Rfam family "Bacterial small subunit ribosomal RNA", at positions 355 to 776 of the family's 1533-position model. The record is from RNAcentral. Lineage: Bacteria; Pseudomonadati; Gemmatimonadota.
UAGGGAAUCUUCGGCAAUUGACGAAAGUCUGCCCGAGCAACGCCGCUUGAGUGAAGAAGGUCUUCGGAUCGUAAAACUCUGUUGUUAGAGAAGAACAAGGACGUUAGUAACUGAACGUCCCCUGACGGUAUCUAACCAGAAAGCCACGGCUAACUACGUGCCAGCAGCCGCGGUAAUACGUAGGUGGCAAGCGUUGUCCGGAUUUAUUGGGCGUAAAGCGAGCGCAGGCGGUUUCUUAAGUCUGAUGUGAAAGCCCCCGGCUCAACCGGGGAGGGUCAUUGGAAACUGGGGGACUAGAGUGCAGAAGGGGAGAGUGGAAUUCCAUGUGUAGCGGUGAAAGGCGUAGAUAGAUGGAGGAACACCAGUGGCGAAGGCGGCUCUCUGGUCUGUAGCUGAAGCUGAGGCUAGAAAGCGUGGGGAGCAAACAGG